UAGGGAAUCUUCGGCAAUGGACGAAAGUCUGACCGAGCAACGCCGCGUGAGUGAAGAAGGUUUUCGGAUCGUAAAACUCUGUUGUUAGAGAAGAACAAGGACGUUAGUAACUGAACGUCCCCUGACGGUAUCUAACCAGAAAGCCACGGCUAACUACGUGCCAGCAGCCGCGGUAAUACGUAGGUGGCAAGCGUUGUCCGGAUUUAUUGGGCGUUAAGCGAGCGCAGGCGGUUUCUUAAGUCUGAUGUGAAAGCCCCCGGCUCAACCGGGGAGGGUCAUUGGAAACUGGGAGACUUGAGUGCAGAAGAGGAGAGUGGAAUUCCAUGUGUAGCGGUGAAAUGCGUAGAUAUAUGGAGGAACACCAGUGGCGAAGGCGGCUCUCUGGUCUGUAACUGACGCUGAGGCUCGAAAGCGUGGGGAGCAAACAGG
Molecule: ribosomal RNA, 429 nt
Filed under: Gemmatimonadota bacterium
Lineage: Bacteria; Pseudomonadati; Gemmatimonadota
Description: Gemmatimonadetes bacterium partial 16S ribosomal RNA
Rfam family: Bacterial small subunit ribosomal RNA
Source: RNAcentral